GAUGAACGCUGACAGAAUGCUUAACACAUGCAAGUCCACUUGAAUUUGGGUUUUUAACUUAGGUUUGGGUGGCGGACGGGUGAGUAACGCGUAAAGAACUUGCCUCACAGCUAGGGACAACAUUUGGAAACGAAUGCUAAUACCUAAUAUUAUGAUAAUAGGGCAUCCUAUAAUUAUGAAAGCUAUAAGCGCUGUGAGAGAGCUUUGCGUCCCAUUAGCUAGUUGGAGAGGUAACGGCUCACCAAGGCGAUGAUGGGUAGCCGGCCUGAGAGGGUGAUCGGCCACAAGGGGAAGGAGACACGGCCCUUACUCCUACGGGAGGCAGCAGUGGGGAAUAUUGGACAAUGGACCAAGAGUCUGAUCCAGCAAUUCUGUGUGCACGAUGAAGUUUUUCGGAAUGUAAAGUGCUUUCAGUUGGGAAGAAAGAAAUGACGGUACCAACAGAAGAAGUGACGGCUAAAUACGUG
This 467-nucleotide ribosomal RNA is filed under the name uncultured bacterium. RNAcentral's name for it is "partial 16S ribosomal RNA". It matches the Rfam family "Bacterial small subunit ribosomal RNA", at positions 28 to 507 of the family's 1533-position model. The record is from RNAcentral.